CAUUAGAUGACUGAAAGCAAGUAAUGGUCUCUUAAACCAAAAAAUAGUAAAUUAGCAAUUACUUCUAAUGG
RNAcentral lists this transfer RNA (71 nucleotides) under Geoscapheus dilatatus. RNAcentral's name for it is "tRNA-Lys". Lineage: Eukaryota; Metazoa; Arthropoda; Insecta; Blattodea; Blaberidae. The record is from RNAcentral.